AUGUCCUCUACUUUUAUGGUUGACACAGGAACCCAGCUAGAAAGAUUACAGAAAAUUGGGGGAAGUAUAGCAGCAGACUGCAGCCAUUGCCUUGAUAUAUUCAGUACCAUGGGACCAGUGCAUUUCUGGAAGUGAUGGAAGUUGGAAAUCUUGGUCCUGCAGAAUCUAGAGCUUCAAAGUGGAAAACUUGUAUGCUCCUUCUUCAGAACAGGUAAACUAAACACACCUGAAUUCCAUCCCCAAAAGUACACUGAACACUGUUCUCCAAAUGCUGCUCAUUACUUAUAGUAGUAGGAUUCAACUUUAAAUACCUCCCAUGAAAACCCUGUUUUAUCAUGUUCAGCUGUGAUUCCUUUCCUUCACUGCUCUUGUUUUAUUAUUUAACCUGCAUUUUCUUGGAGCAGCUUAAAC
This 411-nucleotide long non-coding RNA is filed under the name Coturnix japonica (Japanese quail). RNAcentral's name for it is "lncRNA (ENSCJPG00005012630.1)". The record is from RNAcentral. Lineage: Eukaryota; Metazoa; Chordata; Aves; Galliformes; Phasianidae.